UACGGGGGGGGCAAGCGUUGUUCGGAAUUACUGGGCGUAAAGGGCUCGUAGGCGGCCAACUAAGUCCGACGUGAAAUCCCCAGGCUUAACCUGGGAACUGCGUCGGAUACUGGAUGGCUUGAAUUCGGGAGAGGGAUGCAGAAUUCCAGGUGUAGCGGUGAAAUGCGUAGAUAUCUGGAGGAACACCGGUGGCGAAGGCGGCAUCCUGGACCGGCAUUGACGCUGAGGAGCGAAAGCCAGGGGAGCAAACGGG
This 253-nucleotide ribosomal RNA is filed under the name uncultured bacterium. Its description in RNAcentral is "partial 16S ribosomal RNA". It matches the Rfam family "Bacterial small subunit ribosomal RNA", at positions 524 to 776 of the family's 1533-position model. The record is from RNAcentral.